RNAcentral lists this unclassified non-coding RNA (331 nucleotides) under soil metagenome. Its description in RNAcentral is "partial contains 5.8S ribosomal RNA, internal transcribed spacer 2, and large subunit ribosomal RNA". The stretch from base 1 to 120 matches the Rfam family "5.8S ribosomal RNA", at positions 35 to 154 of the family's 154-position model. The record is from RNAcentral.
GAUGAAGAACGUAGCGAAAUGCGAUAAGUAAUGUGAAUUGCAGAAUUCAGUGAAUCAUCGAAUCUUUGAACGCACAUUGCGCCCCCUGGUAUUCCGGGGGGCAUGCCUGUUCGAGCGUCAUUUCACCACUCAAGCCUCGCUUGGUAUUGGGCAUCGCGGUCCGCCGCGUGCCUCAAAUCGACCGGCUGGGUCUUCUGUCCCCUAAGCGUUGUGGAAACUAUUCGCUAAAGGGUGUUCGGGAGGCUACGCCGUAAAACAACCCCAUUUCUAAGGUUGACCUCGGAUCAGGUAGGGAUACCCGCCGAACUUAAGCAUAUCAAUAAGCGGAGGA